Molecule: ribosomal RNA, 482 nt
Filed under: uncultured bacterium
Lineage: Bacteria
Description: bacterial SSU rRNA
Rfam family: Bacterial small subunit ribosomal RNA
Source: RNAcentral
UUGAACGCUGGCGGCAUGCUUUACACAUGCAAGUCGAACGGUAACAGGGAGCUUGCUCCGCUGACGAGUGGCGAACGGGUGAGUAAUGCAUCGGAACGUACCCAGUCGUGGGGGAUAACGUAGCGAAAGUUACGCUAAUACCGCAUACGUCCUGAGGGAGAAAGCGGGGGACCGUAAGGCCUCGCGCGAUUGGAGCGGCCGAUGUCGGAUUAGCUAGUUGGUGGGGUAAAGGCCUACCAAGGCGACGAUCCGUAGCGGGUCUGAGAGGAUGAUCCGCCACACUGGGACUGAGACACGGCCCAGACUCCUACGGGAGGCAGCAGUGGGGAAUUUUGGACAAUGGGGGCAACCCUGAUCCAGCCAUGCCGCGUGAGUGAAGAAGGCCUUCGGGUUGUAAAGCUCUUUCAGCAGGAGCGAAACGGUCGUUUUUAAUACAGACGGCUAAUGACGGUACCUGCAGAAGAAGCACCGGCUAACUACGU